RNAcentral lists this unclassified non-coding RNA (213 nucleotides) under plant metagenome. Its description in RNAcentral is "partial contains small subunit ribosomal RNA, internal transcribed spacer 1, and 5.8S ribosomal RNA". The record is from RNAcentral.
UCUCCGUAGGUGAACCUGCGGAGGGAUCACUACAGGCUUGCAAAAGCUCUGAAACCACUGUUUAUCUACCUGCAUCUGCUUCGGCGGGCGGCCCCAGGGCGGGGCCGUAGCCGCAAGGCGCCCGCCGAAGACCCCUAAACUCUGUCGUCUUGAGAAUCUCUGAGUAUCAUAUUAAACAGAAAACAACUUUCAACAACGGAUCUCUUGGCUCUG